CACCGGCGGCUCGAGGGGUGGACACUUUUAUUGGGUCUAAAGCGGCCGGAGCCGGCUUGGCAAGUCCCCUGGGAAAUCUGGCGGCUUAACCGUCAGGCGUCCAGAGGAUACUGCCAGGCUUGGGACCGGGAGAGGUGAGAGGUACCUCAGGGGUAGGGGUGAAAUCUUGUGAUCCCUGAGGGACCACCAGUGGCGAAGGCGUCUCACUAGAACGGGUCCGACGGUCAGGGACGAAAGCUGGGGGCACGAACCGU
This 254-nucleotide ribosomal RNA is filed under the name uncultured microorganism. RNAcentral's name for it is "partial 16S ribosomal RNA". It matches the Rfam family "Archaeal small subunit ribosomal RNA", at positions 474 to 727 of the family's 1478-position model. The record is from RNAcentral.